RNAcentral lists this ribosomal RNA (486 nucleotides) under uncultured bacterium. Its description in RNAcentral is "partial 16S ribosomal RNA". It matches the Rfam family "Bacterial small subunit ribosomal RNA", at positions 30 to 507 of the family's 1533-position model. The record is from RNAcentral.
AUUGAACGCUGGCGGCAUGCCUUACACAUGCAAGUCGAACGGCAGCACGGGUGCUUGCACCUGGUGGCGAGUGGCGAACGGGUGAGUAAUACAUCGGAACAUGUCCUGUAGUGGGGGAUAGCCCGGCGAAAGCCGGAUUAAUACCGCAUACGAUCCACGGAUGAAAGCGGGGGACCUUCGGGCCUCGCGCUAUACGGUUGGCCGGUGGCUGAUUAGCUAGUUGGGGGGGUACAGGCCUACCAAGGCGACGACCAGUAGCUGGUCUGAGAGGCCGACCAGCCACACUGGGACUGAGACACGGCCCAGACUCCUACGGGAGGCAGCAGUGGGGAAUUUUGGACAAUGGGCGAAAGCCUGAUCCAGCAAUGCCGCGUGUGUGAAGAAGGCCUUCGGGUUGUAAAGCACUUUUGUCCGGAAAGAAAUCCUUGACUCUAAUACAGUCGGGGGAUGACGGUACCGGAAGAAUAAGCACCGGCUAACUACGUG